This 73-nucleotide transfer RNA is filed under the name Myotis lucifugus (little brown bat). It matches the Rfam family "tRNA". Rfam says of the family: Transfer RNA (tRNA) molecules are approximately 80 nucleotides in length. Their secondary structure includes four short double-helical elements and three loops (D, anti-codon, and T loops). Further hydrogen bonds mediate the characteristic L-shaped molecular structure. tRNAs have two regions of fundamental functional importance: the anti-codon, which is responsible for specific mRNA codon recognition, and the 3' end, to which the tRNAs corresponding amino acid is attached (by aminoacyl-tRNA synthetases). tRNAs cope with the degeneracy of the genetic code in two manners: having more than one tRNA (with a specific anti-codon) for a particular amino acid; and 'wobble' base-pairing, i.e. permitting non-standard base-pairing at the 3rd anti-codon position. The record is from Rfam by way of RNAcentral. Lineage: Eukaryota; Metazoa; Chordata; Mammalia; Chiroptera; Vespertilionidae.
GCCGGUUUGGCUCAGUGGAUAGAGCUUUGGCCUGUGGACUCAAGGGUCGUGGGUUCGAUUCCAGUCAAGGGCA